Malania oleifera is the source of this 607-nucleotide long non-coding RNA. RefSeq lists it as uncharacterized. NCBI's taxonomy places the organism in Eukaryota, Viridiplantae, Streptophyta, Magnoliopsida, Santalales, Ximeniaceae. The transcript has 2 exons. The record is from RefSeq and is a predicted model, not a curated record.
AAAAUCCAGAUGUCCACCACCUGUUUGUAGAAUUUCCCUAGAAAACCGAAUGGCUAGGGAUAGGAACCAUAAACUAAAUCAAGAGCAGAACUGCAAAACACGAAGCACUGCAUAAGUUUUCAACUUUUGUCACCCUCUCCCGAUCGUUGCAUGCACCAAACCUGAUCUUGACAUCAUGAGAAUAUCAACUAUUCGAAGCAGCCUAGGUUGGUUACUCUCUGAUCAGAGGGCGAGGAACACGAGCUCGCUCUGAAACAAGCCGCAGAAAAGUCAUGGAAAGAGCAGAAGCGGAGCUCAAACUAAGAGGAAAUACGUUCUUUGGAGGAGACAACAUUGGGUAUUUGGAAGAACAACUUUCUCGGCCACCCGACGAUUAGAGACAGAUUGCCGCCGCCGGACAAAAUGCUGGACUUCUUCUGCUGGUGCAGAAGCCCUCACGCUUCUCAGAAAUGCUUGAUCUAUUAUUUCCACUUUUGCCCCUUUUGUUUUUUAAAAUAACUAGAAGAAAUUCUACGAGACCUUUUUUUUUUGGGCUAAGGGAAAUGUUAUGAGACUUGUAAAAUAUGAAAAUUAGUAAUUUGUCAAAUAUAUUUUUAAAUGACUAAAA